UACAGAGGGCGCGAGCGUUGUCCGGAAUCAUUGGGCGUAAAGGGCGCGUAGGUGGCCCGGUCAGUUUGUGGUGAAAGCGCGGGGCUCAACUCCGCGUCGGCCAUGAAUACUGCUGGGCUGGAGCACUGUAGAGGCAGGCGGAAUUCCGGGUGUAGCGGUGGAAUGCGUAGAGAUCCGGAAGAACACCGGUGGCGAAGGCGGCCUGCUGGGCAGUAGCUGACACUGAGGCGCGACAGCGUGGGGAGCAAACAGG
Molecule: ribosomal RNA, 253 nt
Filed under: uncultured bacterium
Lineage: Bacteria
Description: partial 16S ribosomal RNA
Rfam family: Bacterial small subunit ribosomal RNA
Source: RNAcentral